Molecule: ribosomal RNA, 497 nt
Filed under: uncultured bacterium
Lineage: Bacteria
Description: partial 16S ribosomal RNA
Rfam family: Bacterial small subunit ribosomal RNA
Source: RNAcentral
GAUGAACGCUGGCGGCGUGCCUAAUACAUGCAAGUCGAGCGAACGGACGAGAAGCUUGCUUCUCUGAUGUUAGCGGCGGACGGGUGAGUAACACGUGGAUAACCUACCUAUAAGACUGGGAUAACUUCGGGAAACCGGAGCUAAUACCGGAUGAUAUUUUGAACCGCAUGGUUCAAAAGUGAAAGACGGUCUUGCUGUCACUUAUGGAUGGAUCCGCGCUGCAUUAGCUAGUUGGUAAGGUAACGGCUUACCAAGGCAACGAUGCAUAGCCGACCUGAGAGGGUGAUCGGCCACACUGGAACUGAGACACGGUCCAGACUCCUACGGGAGGCAGCAGUAGGGAAUCGUCCGCAAUGGGCGAAAGCCUGACGGAGCAACGCCGCGUGAGUGAUGAAGGUCUUCGGAUCGUAAAACUCUGUUAUUAGGGAAGAACAUAUGUGUAAGUAACUGUGCACAUCUUGACGGUACCUAAUCAGAAAGCCACGGCUAACUACGUG